Molecule: long non-coding RNA, 759 nt
Organism: Pteropus alecto (black flying fox)
Lineage: Eukaryota; Metazoa; Chordata; Mammalia; Chiroptera; Pteropodidae
Exons: 3
Source: RefSeq, a predicted model, not a curated record
AGCUCAUAGAUACAAAGAAUAGAUUUGUGGUUGCCAGAGGUGGAGGGGGGGGUGUUAAAAUGGUGAAGAGUCAAAAGGUAUAUAUUUCUAGUUAUAAAUAAAUCAUAGGGAUGUCAUGUAUAGCAUGGCGACAAUAGUUACUACUGUAUCGGAUAUUUGAAAGUUGCUAAGAAUAGAUCUUAAAAGUUCUCAUCACAAAAAAAAUUCUAUAACUGUGAUAUGUUAACUACUAGUGAUUUACUGUGGUGUUCACGAUAUAUUUUUAAAUGUUAUAUAACAAUGCUUUCUGUUGUCAAUUUUUUUUUUCUUUUAGUUAAGUAAUCCAUUUUAGAUGCCCUAAAGAAGUUUAUAUGACCUUCAAAAAUAAGUUGGAAAAAUACUUCUGAACAGCCACUCCAGAGGGCUGGUCCUGAGAGGAGUUGCGUAUUUGAGGGAGCCCGGGACAGCCUGAAGGCCCGCCUCCUGCACUAGAGCUGCCAGGAGCCGACACUCACCUGUUCUCAAGAUGCUCUGGGCCUUUGCAUUGCCAAGUUUUGCAGCUUGGAUGAGAUGGAGUGCACCCACGGCCUCGUCUUUUGGCACUGACAUCCCUUCUACCAAGAGUAGGUCUUCUGUUCGAGCAGAGGAAACGAAACCAACCAUCAUGCAGCUUUUUUGCUUCCCUUUGCAAGGCCAUUCCAGAGGCAUAGGCUUCAAUACACCCAUGGCUUCCACAGGAACAGUCAGGCCCAUCCAGAGAGACAACAAGGUGGCCAAGUU